GGGAAUAUUGGACAAUGGGCGAAAGCCUGAUCCAGCAAUGCCGCGUGUGUGAAGAAGGUCUUCGGAUUGUAAAGCACUUUCGACGGGGACGAUGAUGACGGUACCCGUAGAAGAAGCCCCCGGCUAACUACGUGCCAG
This 138-nucleotide ribosomal RNA is filed under the name uncultured bacterium. RNAcentral describes it as "partial 16S ribosomal RNA". It matches the Rfam family "Bacterial small subunit ribosomal RNA", at positions 357 to 511 of the family's 1533-position model. The record is from RNAcentral.